GCCGGGCAUGGUGGUGCAUGCCUGUAAUCCCAGCUACUCAGGAGGCUGAGGCAGGAGAAUCGCUUGAACACAGGAGGCGGGGGUUGCAGUGAGCAGAGAUCGAGCCACUGCACUCCAGCCUGGGUGACAAAGGGAGACUCUGUUUCAA
Molecule: non-coding RNA, 148 nt
Organism: Homo sapiens (human)
Lineage: Eukaryota; Metazoa; Chordata; Mammalia; Primates; Hominidae
Rfam family: Metazoan signal recognition particle RNA
About the family: The signal recognition particle (SRP) is a universally conserved ribonucleoprotein. It is involved in the co-translational targeting of proteins to membranes. The eukaryotic SRP consists of a 300-nucleotide 7S RNA and six proteins: SRPs 72, 68, 54, 19, 14, and 9.
Source: Rfam